Molecule: non-coding RNA, 204 nt
Organism: Cinara cedri
Lineage: Eukaryota; Metazoa; Arthropoda; Insecta; Hemiptera; Aphididae
Source: the annotation of a GenBank genome assembly
UCUGUGUACUUAAACAUACUCAAAUCAAAGAAUCUGCCACACUUACUUCGCCUCGUUUUGGUGGCCUUAAAUAUAAUUAAAAUCUUAUUGCCUCAGCAUAUUUGCUUCACUGGCCUAUUUUAUAAUAUUAGUGACUAAACGCAUAAACAAUGUUUUUAUAACUGUGUUUGCAUAUACAACAGUAUUGCAGGUUGCCAAGGGAAA